GUGCCAGCAGCCGCGGUAAUACGUAGGUGGCGAGCGUUGUCCGGAAUUACUGGGCGUAAAGAGCGCGUAGGCGGAUAUUUAAGUGAGAUGUGAAAUACCAGGGCUUACCCCGGGCACUGCAUUUCAUACUGGAUAUCUAGAGUGCGGGUGAGGAGAAUGGAAUUCCUAGUGUAGCGGUGUAAUGCGGAGAGAUGAGGAAGAAUACCGGUGGCGAAGGCGAUUCUCUGGACCGUAACUGACGCUGA
RNAcentral lists this ribosomal RNA (245 nucleotides) under uncultured bacterium. RNAcentral describes it as "partial 16S rRNA". It matches the Rfam family "Bacterial small subunit ribosomal RNA", at positions 505 to 749 of the family's 1533-position model. The record is from RNAcentral.